AAAAAAGCAAAAAUAAUGUUUAUAAUAUGCAUGCUUUUAUAUAAAUAAAAUACAUUUAUACGUUAUAUACUAAUAAAACAAGAAACAACAACAAAAUUACUAUUAUCCUAAAAAGAGAAAAAAGAGAAAAAAAAAAAAAAAAAAAAUCAACAACAACAACAACAACAAUGAGCGUUUAUAAUUUUUAUCAAAAUCUAAUCCCCAGCCAAUCGAUAAGAACUGCUUUAUGUUGUGAUAUAAAAGGUAAUGGGAAAAAGUAUUUAAUAUACGCAAAUAAUAAUUCAUUAAAUGUUUGUUCUGUUGAUAAGGAUGGCUAUACAGAUGAUCAUAGUAAACAUUUCAUUUUUUCUGAUAUACUAGAGAUAAGAGAAUAUAAACCACGAAAAUUAAUUGAUACAAAUAAAAAUAAAAAUAUUAAAUCUUAUAUAUUUUUAUUAACAAAAGAAUAUAAAUUAUUAUUAUUAGAAUUUAAUACAAAAUUAAAUGAAUUUAUUACAUUAUCUAAAACAAAUUUACGAGAUGUAAUUGGAUUACAUAUAGAUGAAGAAAUAAUUUUUUUAUUAAAUGAAAAAAAUAGUGCAAUUGUAUUUUAUGCAUAUAAAAAUAUAAUGAAAUAUAUUUUAUUAGACUAUGACGAUUAUUUUAAUUUAAAUCAUUUAUAUACAGUUAGGUUGGAAGAUGGUUAUGUUAUAGACAUAAUAUUUUUAAAUUAUUACGAUGAAGAAAAUGAAGAAAAUGAAGAAAAUGGAGAAAAUGAAGAAAAUGAAGAAAAUGGAGAAAAUGGAGAAAAUGGAGAAAAUAAAGGAAAUGGAGAAAAUGGAGAAAAUAAAGAAAAUAAAAAAAAUAAAGAAAAUAAAAAAAAUAAAGAAAAUAAAAAAAAUAAAGAAAAUAAAGAAAAUAAAAAAAAUAAAGAAAAUAAAAAAAAUAAAGAAAAAUAUGGAGCAGAUUAUUGUUUAUGUAAUAACAGUAAUGUUAAUGUUAGUAGUGGAAAUUAUAUGUACAAUGGUCAUAUGUAUUAUCCUAGUAACGAGUUGGAUGUUAAGGAAAGUACAAAAAAACAAAAAAAUAAAAAAUCACAUUCUUUUAUUAAUUCACCAAUGAAUAAUAAUAAUAAUAAAAAUUAUCCUAUUUGUAUUGAUGACAAUAAUAAUGCAAGUUCUAUUGUAAAUAAAAAAAAUAUUAACAAUAAUAACAAUAAUAAUAACAAUAAUAAUAACAAUAAUAAUAAUAUUAUAUAUAACAAUAUAAAUAAUAAAAAAACGUACGAUUUUGAAAAUAUGCAAAUUGAACAAACAUAUAAUGAUGAUAGUACAUCUAUAAAAAACAUGACUAAAAAUAAAUACGAUAAAUUAAUUAAUGUAAGUAGUAAUAGUGUAAGUAGUAAUAAUGUAAGUAGUAAUAAUGUAAACCAAAGUUUUAUUGAUGUAUGCGAUUAUAAUAGUAGAAAAGAUAACAACUUACAUAGUACACAACUUUGUAAUUGUAAAGAUUAUACUUGCGAAUAUAUUGAUAUAUCUAAUAAACAUGAAACAAAUGAUUUAUUUAAAGGAAGUGAAGUUUUGGAUAACACUGGUUUAAAAGCGAGUGUUAAAAAGAACACAAAUAAACGUUGUAAAAAACGAAAACAACACAAUGGUAAUAUAAAUUUAUUUGUUUGUAUUUUAUAUGAUGCUACAAAACAAAUAUCACCUACAUACGAACGUUAUAUUCAAGUUAUUCGAUUAUAUUCAUUAAACGAGAUUAAAAACGAAAAUUCAUGUGAAUGUUGUAAUUUUUAUAAAUCGCAAGUAACUAAUACAUGUAAUUUGAAUAAUUCACCUAAGUAUAAUUUAUAUCAUAAUAAUGAUGUAUUUAUAUCUCCAAUGUAUUUUAAUCCAGUAAUUGUAGAUGCUAGUAUUAAUAAACUGUUUAGUAUCGCAAAAAAUAGAAUAUUACUUAUAGGUUUUCAAUUUAUUAAUUAUAUAAAUUUAGCAAUAGAUAAAGAAUAUAUUUUUUUUCUUAGUUCGGAAUUAAGAACAAUUAGAUGUAUUGAACAAAUUCAAAAAAAUAAAUAUAUUUUAGCAGAUGACUAUGGUGAUCUUUUUAUUUUAACAUGUGUUUUUAGUAAUGGUUUAAGUCCAACUAAAAUGGAUUUACAAGAAAAAGGUUUUACGUUUGGUAACAAAAAAAAUGAUGAAAAUGAUGAAAAUGGUGAAAAUAGGGAAAAUAGGGAAAAUAGAGAAAAUGGAGAAAAUGGAGAAAAUUGGGAAAUUUGUGAAAAUGAGAAAAGUGGUAAGAGUGGAAAGAACGAUAAUGGUUAUAUUAGUGUAGGUAAAAUACGGUGUCCUAGAAAUAAUAGUUAUACCUUUUUAAACAAUUACGAACCUAAUUGUUGUAAAUAUAAUGGGUAUGAUCGUGAAAAACAUUGUCCCAAAUGUAUUAAUUAUCAAUCUAGUGAAAUAAAUUUUAUAAACUUACAAUUUAUAGGCAUAUCUUCACGAUCGAAUGUUAUUGUUUCUAUUUUCUCGAAUAUAUUAUUUUUAGGAUCAGAAGUUAGUAAUAGUUAUUUAUUGCGUAUGUAUAAUCAUCCAGUACAGGCUUAUAAAAAUUUUACACCAGUUGAGCCUGACAAUAUACAUAGCGAUGAGGAUAUAACAUCUGAUAAGGAAUUUAUUAAAAAAAAUGUUCAUCAGUAUGUUAGCGACUUAAGUACAAACCAUAGUAAUUACACUACUAUAACUACUAGGAGUGAUAAUAAUAAUGUAGUUCCUUUUUUUCAAAUGAAAAAAAAAAUGCAAAAAAAUUUUAGUAGUGGGUUAGAUGGGGUUACUCCCGUCUCUACUAUUAACAAUUAUGCUAGCACAAGCAACGCAACCAAUUACAAUAGUGAACUUAAAUAUAACAACGUAACUAGCUAUAACAACAUAAUUAACAAUAAUAUCGGAAACAAUGUUAUCUACCCAAAUACAACUGAUAAAAGCUUUGCCGGUUGGCUACUCAACAAGUAUGUAAAUAAACAAAACCAGAAUUUAAUUAACGAGGAUGGAACGUGUUUUAAUAAAAGUGAAAUCUUAAAAACUGGAGAGCAUACAAAAUUUACAUACCCUGCUAUUAAAAACUUGUUAAAUGUUGAUAUUUUACAACAAAUGAAUGAUAUAAUUAAAAUAAAUAAUAACACAAACACUAACAAUAACACUAACACUAAUAUUAAUGUGAAUGCUACAAAUGAAGAAAUUAACAAUUUAUUUUUUAAACAGAAAAUGGAAGAGCUUCGUUUUUUGCAAUAUACACAAACAGAUUAUACAGAUACAAAUUUAUCAUGUAAUUGUAUUUUAUCUACUAAAACUGAAUCAGAUAUUAGUACAGGUUUAAGUACAGGUUUAAGUACAGGUUUAAGUACAGGUUUAAGUACAGGUUUAAAUACAGGUUUAAGUACAGGUUUAAAUACAGGUUUAAUUACAGGUUUAAGUACAGGUUUAAGUACAGGUUUAAAUACAGGUUUAAAUACAGGUUUAAGUACAGGUUUAAAUACAGGUUUAAGUACAGGUUUAAGUACAGGCAUAAGUACAGGUUUAAAUACAGGUUUAAAUACAGGUUUAAUUACAGGUUUAAGUACAGGUUUAAAUACAGGUUUAAGUACAGGUUUAAAUACAGGUUUAAGUACAGGUUUAAGUACAGGUUUAAAUACAGGUUUAAGUACAGGUUUAAAUACAGGUUUAAUUACAGGUUUAAGUACAGGUUUAAGUACAGGUUUAAAUACAGGUUUAAAUACAGGUUUAAAUACAGGUUUAAGUACAGGUUUAAAUACAGGUUUAAAUACAGGCAUAAUUAAAGUACCCAAUUCGGUUAUAAAUAUUUUAAAUAAUAAAAACAAUUUGAAUGCAAAUAAUAUAUCAAAAUAUUACGAAUGUUAUAAUAAAAUUAUAAAUAAAAAAAGUAAAAAAAAAAAAAAAAAUAAUUUUUUUAUUGAAGUGUUAUCAGUUAUUAAGAAUAUGGGUCCGAUUUUAGAUUUUUGUAUAAUACAAAAUAAAGACAAUGAAAAAGAAAUAAUAACAUGUAAUAGUUAUGGUAGAACUGGUUGUAUAUCUAUUAUAAAAAGUGGUUUAAAAGCAAAUAUUAUUUCUAAAUUAGAUAUAAGUAAUGUAACUAAUUUGUUUGUAAUUAAAUAUAUUAUACAUAUUAAAAAAAAAAAUAAUAAUAAUAAUAAUAAUAUAAAAGGAAAAGAUCAAUCAUAUAAAAAUAAAAAUAAAAGAGAGAAAGAGGAAGGAGUAAUUCCAACUGAAUCGGAUAUGUUUAAUAUUUCAUCUGGUGAGAAAAUAAAAAAAAUAAAAACCAAAAAUAAAGUAUCGAAUGGUGAUUGUAGUAAAAAUAGUGAUAGUAAUAUACCUGGUAGUGGUAUUAAUAAUACAACUGAACAUGUUAGAAAUAAUAAAGAACCGUUAGAAUUCCAAGUUUUUGCAUAUCUAGACCAUCAAAAAAGUGUUGAAAUUAAAAAUAUUGAUUUAUCUUUUUUAAAUACGUAUUAUUUUAAAAACGAACAUGAAAUAAAUGUUUUAAAAUAUGCAAAUUUUAUUUAUUUUCAUAUUUUUUUUAUUUGUAUAUCAUAUGGUUUUUAUACAAAAGUUGUGGGUGUAUGUAGAGAUACAAAUGAAGUAACAAGUCAAAAAUGGAAAUCGGCUGAUUCUUUUUUUUCUAAUAUGUAUACCCAAGAACCGGCAAAUAUAUGGCCAAAUAUACCGGCAAAUAUAUCGGCAAAUAUACCGGCAAAUAUAUCGGCAAAUAUACCGGCAAAUAUAUGGCCAAAUAUACCGGCAAAUAUACCGACAAAUAUAUGGCCAAAUAUACCGGCAAAUAUACCGACAAACAUACUGACAAACAUACCGACAAACAUACCGACAAACAUACCGACAAACAUACNNNNNNNNNNAUACCGACAAACAUACCGACAAACAUACCGACAAACAUACCGACAAAACAAAACUACGAAUUUUCAAAUUACAUAA
This 4982-nucleotide long non-coding RNA is filed under the name Piliocolobus tephrosceles (Ugandan red Colobus). Its description in RNAcentral is "lncRNA (ENSPTEG00000002813.1)". The record is from RNAcentral. Lineage: Eukaryota; Metazoa; Chordata; Mammalia; Primates; Cercopithecidae.